GAUGAACGCUGGCGGCGUGCCUAAUACAUGCAAGUCGAGCGAACAGACGAGGAGCUUGCUCCUCUGACGUUAGCGGCGGACGGGUGAGUAAAACGUGGAUAACCUACCUAUAAGACUGGGAUAACUUCGGGAAACCGGAGCUAAUACCGGAUAAUAUAUUGAACCGCAUGGUUCAAUAGUGAAAGACGGUUUUGCUGUCACUUAUAGAUGGAUCCGCGCCGCAUUAGCUAGUUGGUAAGGUAACGGCUUACCAAGGCAACGAUGCGUAGCCGACCUGAGAGGAUGAUCAGCCACACUGGAACUGAGACACGGUCCAGACUCCUACGGGAGGCAGCAGUAGGGAAUCUUCCGCAAUGGGCGAAAGCCUGACGGAGCAACGCCGCGUGAGUGAUGAAGGUCUUCGGAUCGUAAAACUCUGUUAUUAGGGAAGAACAAAUGUGUAAGUAACUAUGCACGUCUUGACGGUACCUAAUCAGAAAGCCACGGCUAACUACGUG
This 497-nucleotide ribosomal RNA is filed under the name uncultured bacterium. Its description in RNAcentral is "partial 16S ribosomal RNA". It matches the Rfam family "Bacterial small subunit ribosomal RNA", at positions 28 to 507 of the family's 1533-position model. The record is from RNAcentral.